GAGCGACGCCGCGUGAGCGAAGAAGGCCUUCGGGUCGUAAAGCUCUGUUGUUAGAGAAGAACAUGGGUGAGAGUAACUGUUCACCCCUUGACGGUAUCUAACCAGAAAGCCACGGCUAACUACGUGCCAGCAGCCGCGGUAAUACGUAGGUGGCAAGCGUUGUCCGGAAUUAUUGGGCGUAAAGCGCGCGCAGGCGGUCUCUUAAGUCUGAUGUGAAAGCCCCCGGCUCAACCGGGGAGGGUCAUUGGAAACUGGGAGACUUGAGGACAGAAGAGGAGAGUGGAAUUCCAAGUGUAGCGGUGAAAUGCGUAGAUAUUUGGAGGAACACCAGUGGCGAAGGCGGCUCUCUGGUCUGUUACUGACGCUGAGGCGCGAAAGCGUGGGGAGCAAACAGGAUUAGAUACCCUGGUAGUCCACGCCGUAAACGAUGAGUGCUAAGUGUUAGGGGGUUUCCGCCCCUUAGUGCUGCAGUUMACGCAUUAAGCACUCCGCCUGGGGAGUACGACCGCAAGGUUGAAACUCA
This 523-nucleotide ribosomal RNA is filed under the name uncultured Brochothrix sp. RNAcentral's name for it is "bacterial SSU rRNA". It matches the Rfam family "Bacterial small subunit ribosomal RNA", at positions 389 to 903 of the family's 1533-position model. The record is from RNAcentral. Lineage: Bacteria; Bacillati; Bacillota; Bacilli; Caryophanales; Listeriaceae.